ACGAACGCUGGCGGCGUGCUUAACACAUGCAAGUCGAACGGAAAGGCCCUGCUUGCAGGGUACUCGAGUGGCGAACGGGUGAGUAACACGUGGGUGAUCUGCCCUGCACUUCGGGAUAAGCCUGGGAAACUGGGUCUAAUACCGGAUAGGAGCCAUUUUUAGUGUGAUGGUUGGAAAGUUUUUUUCGGUGUAGGAUGAGCUCGCGGCCUAUCAGCUUGUUGGUGGGGUAAUGGCCUACCAAGGCGGCGACGGGUAGCCGGCCUGAGAGGGUGGACGGCCACAUUGGGACUGAGAUACGGCCCAGACUCCUACGGGAGGCAGCAGUGGGGAAUAUUGCACAAGGGGCGCAAGCCUGAUGCAGCGACGCCGCGUGGGGGAUGACGGCCUUCGGGUUGUAAACUCCUUUCGCUAGGGACGAAGCUUUUUGUGACGGUACCUAGAUAAGAAGCACCGGCUAACUACGUG
This 465-nucleotide ribosomal RNA is filed under the name uncultured bacterium. RNAcentral's name for it is "partial 16S ribosomal RNA". It matches the Rfam family "Bacterial small subunit ribosomal RNA", at positions 29 to 507 of the family's 1533-position model. The record is from RNAcentral.